RNAcentral lists this ribosomal RNA (730 nucleotides) under uncultured bacterium. RNAcentral describes it as "SSU rRNA". It matches the Rfam family "Bacterial small subunit ribosomal RNA", at positions 171 to 895 of the family's 1533-position model. The record is from RNAcentral.
GCAUACGUCCUACGGGAGAAAGCACGGGGAUCGUUCGGACCUUGCGCUAUCAGAUGAGCCCAGGUCGGAUUAGCUUGUGGUGAGGUAAUGGCUCACCAAGGCCGCGAUCCGUAACUGGUCUGAGAGGAUGAUCAGUCACACUGGAACUGAGACACGGUCCAGACUCCUACGGGAGGCAGCAGUGGGGAAUAUUGGACAAUGGGCGAAAGCCUGAUCCAGCCAUACCGCGUGUGUGAAGAAGGUCUUAGGAUUGUAAAGCACUUUAAGUUGGGAGGAAGGGUUGUAGCCUAAUACGCUGUAACCUUGACGUUACCGACAGAAUAAGCACCGGCUAACUCUGUGCCAGCAGCCGCGGUAAUACAGAGGGUGCAAGCGUUAAUCGGAAUUACUGGGCGUAAAGCGCGCGUAGGUGGUUCAGUAAGAUGGGUGUGAAAUCCCCGGGCUCAACCUGGGAACUGCUUUCAUAACUGCUGAACUAGAGUACGGUAGAGGGUAGUGGAAUUUCCUGUGUAGCGGUGAAAUGCGUAGAUAUAGGAAGGAACACCAGUGGCGAAGGCGACUACCUGGACUGAUACUGACACUGAGGUGCGAAAGCGUGGGGAGCAAACAGGAUUAGAUACCCUGGUAGUCCACGCCGUAAACGAUGUCAACUAGCCGUUGGGAACCUUGAGUUCUUAGUGGCGCAGCUAACGCACUAAGUUGACCGCCUGGGGAGUACGGUCGCAAGAUU